This is a long non-coding RNA of Stegastes partitus (bicolor damselfish), 473 nucleotides long. RefSeq lists it as uncharacterized. The record is from RefSeq and is a predicted model, not a curated record. The transcript is spliced from 3 exons. NCBI's taxonomy places the organism in Eukaryota, Metazoa, Chordata, Actinopteri, Pomacentridae.
UGCGGGUUCUAGAUAGUAAACAAGUGAACCGGACCCAGAGGGGAAAAAAGAAAAAGAGCGGAGUUGGAGCCAGACUCAAAGAGGAGAGAGGACUGCUGCAUUUUUGGCAUUCACCGAAACCAACUAACUGACCUUUGAAAUGACAGACUGACCCGUGCGUUAAGUUUAAAGUAAUUUCAAUUUGAAGUGAUCACAAACAUGCUUUAAUGUACAUGUUCAUUUGGUCCAGAUGUGCGGAUAAAACCUACAGGCUGGUUAAACCCAGAGGCGGAGCGGACGGUGCCGCCUCAAAGUUCGCUAGUUUCACUUUCGAUUUCUCUCUGUGGCGCAGUUCGUCCUCUUCGUGUCAAAACUCCGUCUGAAGCAGCAUGGAUCAGCGAGAGGACAGAGUGCCUCCUGUUGUCCCUCCAUGUGGGGAAGAAGAGAGCCAGAGCGGGGUUCAGAGUUCUGAACCUGAACCCAGCUGUGUGUCC